RNAcentral lists this ribosomal RNA (301 nucleotides) under uncultured bacterium. RNAcentral's name for it is "partial 16S ribosomal RNA". It matches the Rfam family "Bacterial small subunit ribosomal RNA", at positions 509 to 809 of the family's 1533-position model. The record is from RNAcentral.
CAGUCGCCGCGGUAAUACAGAGGGUGCAAGCGUUAAUCGGAAUUACUGGGCGUAAAGCGCGCGUAGGUGGUUUGUUAAGUUGGAUGUGAAAUCCCCGGGCUCAACCUGGGAACUGCAUUCAAAACUGACUGACUAGAGUAUGGUAGAGGGUGGUGGAAUUUCCUGUGUAGCGGUGAAAUGCGUAGAUAUAGGAAGGAACACCAGUGGCGAAGGCGACCACCUGGACUAAUACUGACACUGAGGUGCGAAAGCGUGGGGAGCAAACAGGAUUAGAUACCCCCGUAGUCCCUGUCUCUUAUAA